Molecule: long non-coding RNA, 7729 nt
Organism: Entelurus aequoreus (snake pipefish)
Lineage: Eukaryota; Metazoa; Chordata; Actinopteri; Syngnathiformes; Syngnathidae
Exons: 2
Source: RefSeq, a predicted model, not a curated record
UUAGCAUGUUAGUCAUGCUAAAAUGUUAGCAUGUUAACAUGUUAGUCAUGUUAGCAUGUUAGUCAUGCUAGCAUGUUAGCAUGUUAGUCAUGUUAGCAUGUUAGUCAUGUUAGCAUGUUAGCAUGUUAGUCAUGUUAGCAUGUUAGUUGCUUUCAAACAUGCCCAACACGGAGGCACACCCCUUGAUCACACGUCAUGUUAGUCAUGUUAGCAUGUUAGCAUGUUAGUCAUGUUAGUCAUGUUAGCAUGUUAGCAUGUUAGCAUGUUAGCCAUGUUAGCAUGUUAGUCAUGUUAGCAUGUUUAUAUGUUAGCAUGUUAAUUGUUAGUCAUGUUAGCAUGUUAGCAUGUUAGUCAUGUUAGCAUGUUAGCAUGUUACUCAUGUUAGCAUGUUAGCAUGUAAGCAUGUUAGCAUGUUAUUCAUGUAAGUCAUGUUAGCAUGUUAGUCAUGUUAGCAUGUUAGCAUGUUAGUUGCUUUCAAACAUGCCCAACAUGGAGGCACGUCCCUUGAUCACACGUCCUGUUAGUCAUGUUAGCAUGUUAGUCAUGCUAGCAUGUUAGCAUGUUAGUCAUGCUCGCAUGUUAGCAUGUUAGUCAUGUUAGCAUGUUAGUCAUGCUAGCAUGUUAGUCAUGUUAGCAUGUUAGUUGCUUUCAAACAUGCCCAACACGGAGGCACACCCCUUGAUCACACGUCAUGUUAGUCAUGUUAGCAUGUUAGCAUGUUAGCAUUUUGAAAAUUCCUAGCACCAACGCUGCUGACGUGCCCAACCAAACUAGUUGUUAUUUCCCCUCCUUUGGGGCGGUACGGCUCCGUUGGUAGAGUGGCCGUGCCAGCAACUUGAGGGUUCCGGGUUCGAUCCCCGCUCCCCGCCAUCCUAGCCACUGCCGCUGUGUCCCCGGGCAAGACACUUUACCCAGUGCCACCCACGCUGCUUUAAAUGGAACUCAGGUAUUGGGUUUCACUAUGUAAAAGCGCUUUGAGUCACUAGAGAAAAGUGCUAUAUAAAUAAAAUUCACUGCACCAUUUUUUUGGAAGAAAAAUGUCCACAUUGGGGUGAAAGUUGUCGUCGCAUUUUGCCAUGUUGCACUCUACGGUGCAGCGAGUGGCUCCUUUUGACUUUCUUUAUCUGAUUCAGUCCAAAACAGUCACCGGCAGAUGUGUCGUCGUUUUGUGGCACGACGACGCCAUCAAUCCAAGAGCGUUGUUACCACGGAGCGUGGAGAAACAGUAAUUGCUUUGUGUGAUGAAUAAAUCCACGGUGGAGGGAAACAGUACAGUGACUACGUUAGGUAAAGUCCAAAUAAAAGCAAAAAGUAUUUCCCACACUUUGCUGGAGUAAUCAAGAGAUGUUGUGGUGCACCUGCUGGCUUCUUGCUUGAUGGAUGGCACUAGCUUACACCAACCACUCGCUAAACUUACAGGACUUUUUUUUUUAUUAGAAACAAUUUAACUUAACAUGCAUGGCGGCACUCACUGAGGUCUCACAUUUCACCAGGCAGGGACGAUACUGUCAUCUACACCCACCCCAAGCAGUCAAGUUGUCAUGUUGUGUAAAUCAGUGGUCCCCAACCACCGGACCGAUUGGUACCGGGCCGCACAAGAAUUAAAAAAAAAAAAUAAUAAUAAUAAUAAUAAUAAUAAUAAUUAUGAAAUCAACAUAAAAAACACAAUACAUACAUUCUAUAUCAGUGGUCCCCAACCACCGGGCAACAGCCUGAUACCGGUCCGCGGACCGAUUGGUACCGGGCCGCACAAGAAUUAAAAAAAAAUAAAAUAAAAAAAAUAAUAAAAAAAUUAUGAAAUCAACAUAAAAAACACAAUAUAUACAUUCUAUAUCAGUGGUCCCCAACCACCGGGCCACGGCCUGAUACCGGUCCGCGGACCGAUUGGUACCGGGCCGCACAAGAAUUAAAAAAAAAAAAAAAAAAAAAAAAAAAAUUAUGAAAUCAACAUAAAAAACACAAUAUACACAUUCUAUAUCAGUGGUCCCCAACCACCGGGCCACGGCCCGAUACCGGUCCGCGGACCGAUUGGUACCGGGCCGCACAAGAAUUUAAAAAAAAAAAUAAAAAAUUAUGAAAUCAACAUAAAAAACACAAUAUAUACAUUCUAUAUCAGGGGUCACCAACCACCGGGCCACGGCCCGAUACCGGUCCGCGGACCGAUUGGUACCGGGCCGCACAAGAAUUAAAAAAAAAAAAUAAAAAAAAAAAAAAAAAAAUUAUGAAAUCAACAUAAAAAACACAAUAUAUACAUUCUAUAUCAGUGGUCCCCAACCACCGGGCCACGGCCCGAUACCGGUCCGCGGACCGAUUGGUACCGGGCCGCACAAGAAUUAAAAAAAAUAAAAAAAUAAAAAAAUUAUGAAAUCAACAUAAAAAACACAAUAUAUACAUUCUAUAUCAGUGGUCCCCAACCACCGGGCCACGGCCUGAUACCGGUCCGCGGACCGAUUGGUACCGGGCCGCACAAGAAUUAAAAAAAAUAAAAAUAAAAAAAAAUAAAUUAUGAAAUCAACAUAAAAAACACAAUUUACACAUUCUAUAUCAGUGGUCCCCAACCACCGGGCCACGGCCCGAUACCGGUCCGCGGACCGAUUGGUACCGGGCCGCACAAGAAUUUAAAAAAAAAAUAAAAAAAUUAUGAAAUCAACAUAAAAAACACAAUAUAUACAUUCUAUAUCAGGGGUCACCAACCACCGGGCCACGGCCCGAUACCGGUCCGCGGACCGAUUGGUACCGGGCCGCACAAGAAUUAAAAAAAAAAAAAAAAAAAAAAUAAAAAAAAAAUAUGAAAUCAACAUAAAAAACACAAUAUAUACAUUCUAUAUCAGUGGUCCCCAACCACCGGGCCACGGCCCGAUACCGGUCCGCGGACCGAUUGGUACCGGGCCGCACAAGAAUUAAAAAAAAUAAAAAAAUAAAAAAAUUAUGAAAUCAACAUAAAAAACACAAUAUAUACAUUCUAUAUCAGUGGUCCCCAACCACCGGGCCACGGCCUGAUACCGGUCCGCGGACCGAUUGGUACCGGGCCGCACAAGAAUUUAAAAAAAUAAAAAUAAAAAAUAAAAAAAAUUAUGAAAUCAACAUAAAAAACACAAUAUAUACAUUCUAUAUCAGUGGUCCCCAACCACCGGGCCACGGCCUGAUACCGGUCCGCGGAACAAUUGGUACCGGGCCGCACAAGAAUUUAAGAAAAAUAAAAAAUAAAAAAAUAAAAAAAUUAUGAAAUCAACAUAAAAAACACAAUAUAUACAUUCUAUAUCAGUGGUCCCCAACCACCGGGCCACGGCCUGAUACCGGUCCGCGGACCGAUUGGUACCGGGCCGCACAAGAAUUUAAAAAAAAAUAAAAAAAUUAUGAAAUCAACAUAAAAAACACAAUAUAUACAUUCUAUAUCAGUGGUCCCCAACCACCGGGCCACGGCCCGAUACCGGUCCGCGGACCGAUUGGUACCGGGCCGCACAAGAAUUAAAAAAUAAAUAAAUAAAAAAUAAAAAAAUAAAAAAAUAUGAAAUCAACAUAAAAAACACAAUAUAUACAUUCUAUAUCAGUGGUCCCCAACCACCGGGCCACGGCCCGAUACCGGUCCGCGGACCGAUUGGUACCGGGCCGCACAAGAAUUAAAAAAAAAAAAUUAAAAAAAUAAUUAUGAAAUCAACAUAAAAAACACAAUAUAUACAUUCUAUAUCAGGGGUCACCAACCUUUUUGAAAGCAAGAGCUACUUCUUGGGUACUGAUUAAUGCGAAGGGCUACCAGUUUGAUACACACUUCAAUAAAUUGCCAGAAAUAGCCAAUUUGUUCAAUUUACCUUUAACUCGAUGUUAUUAUUAAUAAUUAAUGAUAUUUACACUUAAUUGAACGGUUUAAAAGAGGAGAAAACACGAAAAAAAUGACAAUUAAAUUUUGAAACAUAGUUUAUCUUCCAUUUCGACUCUUUAAAAUUCAACCGAAAAAAAGAAGAGAAAAACUUAAAAAAAGAAUUUAUGGAGCAUCAUUAGUAAUUUUUCCUGAUUAAGAUAAUUUUAGAAUUUUGAUUAAAUAGGUUAAAAUCCAAUCUACACUUUGUUAGAAUAUAUAACAAAUUGGACCAAGCUAUAUUUCUAACAAAGACAAAUCAUUAUUUCUUCUAGAUUUUCCAGAACAAAAAUUUUAAAAGAAAUUCAAAAGACUUUGAAAUAAGAUUUAAAUUUGAUUCUACAGAUUUUCUAGAUUUGCCAGAAUAAUUUUUUUGCAUUUUAAUCAUGAUAACUUUGAAGAAAUAUUUCACAAAUAUUCCUCGUCGAAAAAAACAGAAGCUAAAAUGAAGAAUUAAAUUAAAAUGUAUUUAUUAUUCUUUACAAUAAAAAAAAUAAAUUUACUUGAACAUUGAUUUAAAUUGUCAGGAAAGAAGAGGAAGGAAUUUAAAAGGUAAAAAGGUAUAUGUGUUUAAAAAUCCUAAAAUCAUUUUAAGGUUGUAUUUUUUCUAUAAAAUUGUCUUUCUGAAAGUUAUAAGAAGCAAUAUAAAAAAAUGUAUGAAUUUAUUUAAACAAGUGAAGACCAAGUCUUCAAAAUAUUUUCAAAUUCUAUUUGAGUUUUGUCUCUGAUAGAAUUAAAAAUGUCGAGCAAAGCGAGACCAACUUGCUAGUAAAUAAAUACACUUUAAAAAAUAGAGGCAGCUCACUGGUAAGUGCUGCUCUUUGAGCUAUUUUUAGAACAGGCCGGCGGGCUACUCGUCUGGUCCUAACGGGCUACCUGGUGCCCGCGGGCACCGCGUUGGUGACCCCUGUUCUAUAUCAAUAUAGAUCAAUACAGCCUGCAGGGAUACAGUCCGUAAGCACACAUGAUUGUAUUUAUUUAUGUAAAAAAAUUAAAAAAAAGUUGUGUUUUUUUUAAAUACACCAAACCUGAAAAAGACUUGUUUGGAACUUGUUUGGAACAUCCCACGGGUGAGCAGGCUAAUUGGGAACAGGUGGGUGCCAUGAUUGGGUAUAAAAGCAGCUUCCAUCACAAGGACGGGGGCGAGGGUCACCACUUUGUCGACAAAUGCCUGAGCAAAUUGUUUAGGAACAACAUUUCUCAACAAGGAAUUUAGGUAUUUCGCCAUCUACGCUCCGUAAUAUCAUCAAAAGGUUGAGAGAAUGUGGAGAAAUCACUGCAGGUAAGCCGUGAUAUUACUCACCUCGGAUCCCUCAGGCGGUACUGCGUCGAAAAAGCCACGUCGGUGUGUAAAGGAUAUCACCACAUGGGCUCAGGGACACUUAAGAAAACCACUGUACAGUCAGCCGCUACGUCUGUAAGUGCAAGUUAAAACUCUACUGUGCAAAAGCCACAGCCAUUUAUCAACAACACCCAGAAACGCCGCCGGCUUCGCUGGGGCCCCGAGCUCAUCUAAGAUGGACUGAUGCAAAGUAGGGCUGCAACAACUAAUCGAUUAAAUCGAUUAAAAUCGUUUAUAAAAAUAGUUGCCGAUUAAUUUAGUCAUCGAUUCGUUGGAUCUAUGCUAUGCGCAUGCGCAGAGGCUUUUUAAUUUUUUUUAAUUUUUUUUUUUUUUUUUUUUUUUUAAUUUAUAAACUGCGACAUGUACAAACAGCUGAGAAACAAUAAUCAAAAUAAAUAUGGUGCCAGUAUGCUGUUUUUUUUUCAAUAAAAUACUGGAAAGGAUAGAAAUGUAUUUUGUCUCUUUUAUCCGAUUAUUAAUCGAUUAAUCGAAGUAAUAAUCAACAGAUUAAUCGAUUAUCAAAUUAAUCGUUAGUUGCAGCCCUAAUGCAAAGUGGAAAAGUGUUCUGUGGUUCUGAUGAGUCCACAUUUCAAAUUGUUUUUGGAAACUGUGGACCAAAGAGGAAAAGAACCAUCCGGACUGUUCUAGGGUGAAAGUGUAAAAGGCAGCAUGUGUGAUGGUAUGGGGGUGUAUUAGUGGCCGAAACAUGGGUAACUUACACAUCUGUGAAGGCACCAUUAAUGCUGAAAGGUACGUACAGCUUUUGGAGCGACAUAUGUUGUUAUCAUGGACGCCCCUGCUUAUUUCAGCAAGACGAUGCCAAGCCAGGUGUUCCAAGAGCGUAGUAAAAGAGUGCGGGUACUAGACUGGCCUGCCUGUAGUCCAGACCAUUGAAAAUGUGUGAAGGCUAAAAUAUGAGAAGCAAGAAUGGGAAAGAAUUCCACUUCAAAAAUGUGUCUCCUCAGUUCCCAAACCUUUACUGAGUGUUGUUAAAAGGAAAGGCCAUGUAACACACUGGUAAAAAUGCCUUUUUUUUUGCAAUGUGUUGCUGCCAUUGAAAUUCCAAGUUCAUGAUUAUUAGCAAAAAUAACAAAGUGUCUUUGCAGUCUAUUCAAUUGAAUAUAAUUGCAUUGUUUUUUAAUUAUAUUCUAUGCUAUUGUAUUUAAAAUGAAUAUGAAUAAUGAUUGUAUAAACCUUUUUUUUCCCUGGAUUUUGACUGCUUUGUUAAAGUUAAUGUGUGACACAUUUAACGUAAAUGACCAAAACACAGCUCUUGCUCAGCCAAGCUUAAAAAAUACAAUAAAAAGAAUGUUUGCGAGAAAAUAAAAUACAAGAAAAAAAAGAGUCCCUUUCCAGGCAUUAAUGGCCUCCUGGCCGUGUAUAUUUGUCUCCCUGCAGCAUCACAUGACAUGCAAUUAUACCAGAAGCACACGGCGCCAUCAGCGUUAGCGAGCCAGGAAGCAUGAAUAUGUUGCCCCUAUUCUCCUGGAGCUCAGUCUAAAAAUAUAAAGAGAGGGGUAAUUGCAAAGCCAACCACUUGGAAAACAAAUGUGCCUGUGUUUUCUCAUACACAGCCUGCACCGCAAUGCAAAAAAAAAAAAGCUCUUGAGAGAAUGUUCAAUUAAAGUGAAGCACACGGCCCCAGUGGAAGGAAUAUAAAUGAUAAUGUGCUUUUUUUCCUCCUCUUCCCUCCUGUUUAUAUGCAAUACAAUCAAGUAUUUAGCGUGCGUAUGCAUAUUCAUAUCAUCCUUUCCCUGCUUGGAAAUGUAUUGUGUGCGUGUCUAAUGUGUGCGUAUGGAAAGGUGAUUUUAUGAGUGGGUGGAUUAAAUUAAAAAUAAUAAUCAUAAUAAUAACUCAAUUAAAAUAAAUCAAAUAAUACAACUCGCUGGUUUGUGCAAGCACCUUGGAAAUGUAUUGUGUGUGUGCCUAAUGUGUGCGCAUGAAAAGGUGCUUUUAUGAGUGGGUAGAUUAAAAAAAAUAAUAAAAAAAAGAGUGGGUGGAUAGAUGGAUGGUCAGGUGGGUGGGUGGAAAAACUAAUUUUCUUCCCCCCCUUAACUAUCAUCACACUGCCACCUCUCCUCUCAUCAACGACGUAGUUAGCUUUAAGCUAACUGCACUUUAAUGGCGCCGUUUCAACGGUGAUUUACACACAACACGAGACCCCCACAAACACCCCCCUGUGUCACACUAAAGGGGCGCCCGCUCUCUUUAUUGUUCAUUUAGGACGAUGAGUUGCUGUAAUCACGCUCGGAUCCCGUCCCAAAUUAUUCAAUUAGGCCCUUUUGUUUCCCAACCAGCCGGCAACACUCCAGUGCGAAAAGGGGAAAAAAAAACAAUAAAAAAAAAAAAGGUGCCAUGGUGAGAUGAGGAGUGGGCGAUGCGAGUGUGACUCCAUUAGUGGAUUUGUUUGCCACUUGGAGUGCGGAUAGGAAACCCCUCUCGGCGUUUUGUGCCGUGCUCUCGGUGACGACGGGUGUGCAUGCUAACGUGUUCAUCUGCCAAAAAAAGUGCUACAUUUUUUUUUUUUUAAA